GACGAACGCUGGCGGCGUGCCUAAUACAUGCAAGUAGAACGCACAGUUUAUACCGUAGCUUGCUACACCAUAGACUGUGAGUUGCGAACGGGUGAGUAACGCGUAGGUAACCUGCCUGGUAGCGGGGGAUAACUAUUGGAAACGAUAGCUAAUACCGCAUCAUAUUGAUUAUUGCAUGAUAAUUGAUUGAAAGAUGCUAUUGCAUCACUACCAGAUGGACCUGCGUUGUAUUAGCUAGUAGGUGAGGUAACGGCUCACCUAGGCGACGAUACAUAGCCGACCUGGGAGGGUGAUCGACCACACUGGGACUGGGACCCGGCCCAGACUCCUACGGGAGGCAGCAGUAGGGAAUCUUCGGCAAUGGACGAAAGUCUGACCGAGCAACGCCGCGUGAGUGAAGAAGGUUUUCGGAUCGUAAAGCUCUGUUGUAAGAGAAGAACGGGUGUGAGAGUGGAAAGUUCACACUGUGACGGUAUCUUACCAGAAAGGGACGGCUAACUACGUG
This 505-nucleotide ribosomal RNA is filed under the name uncultured bacterium. Its description in RNAcentral is "partial 16S ribosomal RNA". It matches the Rfam family "Bacterial small subunit ribosomal RNA", at positions 28 to 507 of the family's 1533-position model. The record is from RNAcentral.